AAGGAAUUAGUUAAUCUAUAACAUUAGUAUGUCAUACUAAAAUUAUUAAUAUAAUUAAUAUUCCUUU
Molecule: transfer RNA, 67 nt
Filed under: Tachycines shuangcha
Lineage: Eukaryota; Metazoa; Arthropoda; Insecta; Orthoptera; Rhaphidophoridae
Description: tRNA-Asp
Source: RNAcentral